CCUACGGGAGGCAGCAGUGAGGAAUAUUGGUCAAUGGGCGGAAGGCUGAACCAGCCAAGCCGCGUGAAGGACGAAGGUGCCACGCAUUGUAAACUUCUUUUGUCAAGGGACAAAAUCAGGCACGAGAGCCUGACCGAGGGUACCUGACGAAAAAGCAUCGGCUAACUCCGUGCCAGCAGCCGCGGUAAUACGGAGGAUGCGAGCGUUAUCCGGAUUUAUUGGGUUUAAAGGGUGCGUAGGCGGACUGUUAAGUCAGCGGUAAAAGCCCGGGGCUCAACCCCGGCGAGCCGUUGAAACUGGCGGUCUUGAGAUGGCGAGAGGUAGGCGGAAUGCGCAGUGUAGCGGUGAAAUGCUUAGAUAUUGCGCAGAACUCCGAUUGCGAAGGCAGCAUACCGGCGGCGAUCUGACGCUGAGGCACGAAAGCGUGGGUAUCGAACAGGAUUAGAUACCCGGGUAGUC
Molecule: ribosomal RNA, 459 nt
Filed under: uncultured bacterium
Lineage: Bacteria
Description: partial 16S ribosomal RNA
Rfam family: Bacterial small subunit ribosomal RNA
Source: RNAcentral